Molecule: long non-coding RNA, 2716 nt
Filed under: Lynx pardinus (Iberian lynx)
Lineage: Eukaryota; Metazoa; Chordata; Mammalia; Carnivora; Felidae
Source: RNAcentral
GUGCUUUCCUGUUUUCUCUCAUCUCUUGGGGCCGCACAUGACAGCCCCAGGUCAGCAUGUGCCUGCGUGCUGGCUAGCCAGUGAGACUGGAGCCAGUUUCCAGGGACUGAGGUCUCUGAAAUCUGUUACAUUCUCUUCAUCCCCUUCCCCAUCACCUAACCCAAGGUACCUUCGAGGGACCGUUAAUGCCCUCUGCAGAUGUGUUCUCCUCAUAGCAGCCAGAGGAGUCCUCUUAUGACAUAACUUAGGUCAUGUCAUUAGUUUUGACUGGCUUCCCAUUCUCACUGGAUUCGAUCUAAACUGGCGUGUAAGGAAUACCCUGGAAUGGCUUCUCAUUCUCUUUGCCUGAACCCCACACUUCUCCUUGUUUACAUGGCCCUGUACAAACUGGCUUCCACGUCUCAUCUCACUCCAGGCUACCUACCCUUACUUGCCUUGGGAGGCAGAAACAUCGCUAUGUGUCUUCCCAAGCUGUUUAUUGCCUUCCUGUGCACAUGGCCAGACACCGUCCCCCCCUCCUCGCGGUAAGGCGGGGCCGUAUCUUGGAGUUCUUGUCAAUGGAAUAUGAGUGCAAGUGAGAUGCAUCACCUCUGGUCUUGGCCCCCAAAGCUUUUUCUUUUUGCCGUUGACUGCAUGCAGAGGCUAUAAUGGACCACUCCAAGGAGACCUCGGAGGAUGGCAGGGAGCUUGGGUUUUGAGCAACCGAGCAAAAGACCUCCAACCAAACACCCGACUGGUUCUGAGGAGAAAAAGGGAUACACUAAUAUUGUCUGAAAUCACUGAGAUUUGGGCUUGGGUGUUCUAAUGGCCCGACUCAUCGCCUGUUCUCUGUUCCUGGAAUAUGUUAAGGUACUUUGUGCUUCUCCGAGGCUGUGUCCUCUGCUUGCAAUGCUUUUCCUGACCAUUCCUCACAUGCUUGCGUCUUUAGCCGCUAGGUCUAAAACUCACCACCAGCUCUUAGCCUUCAUCUGUGUUCUUGUCUUAUUAUUUUUUUUUUAUAGAACUUUUUACAACUUGUGUGUUGUUUUUCUUAACUUUGGUUUUCAUUGUGUUCCCCACUAGAAUGUGAGCCUCCAAGGGCAUGAAUCAAGUCUGUCUCACCCCCCAGCAUAUAUCCCGUGCCGAACAAAGUGUCCGACAAAAAGUAGGCAGUUAACAACUAUUAGCUGAUGGAUUGAAUGAAUGAAUGAAUGAACCAAUUAUGUGUGAUUCAGCUCAGUUCAUUUCAAAUAUUUCCGGGGCACCAACUUUGUGCAAGGCACUUUACACACAUAUAAUGCGUUCUCUACUCAAUUCUCAUUAAAAUCCUAGUGGGGAGGUAAGAUCAUUAUCCCCACUUUACGUAAAGACAUCAAGAGGCAUUGGCAGCAACCAUAACCCAGGUCCUUCACAAUGGCAUUCUCCAGCCACCAUCCUAUCUCUGAAAGGUAGGUCCUAUGGUCUCCGUUUUACAAAAGAAAAAACUCAUGCUCAGACAGACUGAGUCACUUUCCCAAGGUCAUGCAGCUAAUGAGGUCAUGCAGCUGGGAUUUACACCCAGGUCCAGGGGGAGGGAAUGGAAGAGAAUGGGGACACGCCUCUCUUACAGUGCUAUUCUUCCUGACAGCCUCAUUAGAAAUCCCCACAGAAUAUCUGGAACGUGGGUGGAAAUGAAGACUGGAUUUCUCCAGAGUCCCAUGAGCUCGGUUUGCAACGGGAUUUCAUUUUAAACGCAGGACCCUCUCUCUCCCAUGGCGCCUGGGAUGAGGGGGCGCCAUUUUGUAUCCUGGGAACACAGCUCCCGUGACCUUGUGUGAGCCAGGCUGGCCUGGCCACCACCGAUAAGCUGGAGGCAUGAGUGCCCAGGUUCAUCUGGGGAGAGCAGCCGGAGCUGUUGAUAGGCAGAGAAAAUCUGUGAUUAAUUAUGGCAGAUGAAAGUAUGAAGUAAUGAAUCCUUCUUGAGGGCUGGGCGAGCUGAAGGGCCUCGCUCUCUGGAUGCAUGUGGAGACUGCACGGCCCCUUCUGAAACCAGCAGUAAACUUUAAUGGCUGCAAGUUCUGUGACUUGGCGGGCUGCGGAUUGGAUGGCACAUAGAACUCAUGAAUUCUCUGGGGUGGGAGCUAAUUAGGGUGCAAUUUUUCAAUUACGGAACAUUGAGCGAGCCUCUCCCCAGACCCCCCCCCCCACCAUCCCUCAAUGGAUACACUCCAUUUGUCUGUUUUCCUUUAUUUCUUAAUCAUUUGAUGAUAUGACAGCAAUUAUUUGUCAUUUGGAAGAGAAAAUCGUCACGGAGCUAUUGUUUCCCUCCUGAAGCCCCAGCUCUUCUGUGGAGAUGGUUACAUUUGAUAAAUGGUCUGCGUUCCCGCCGCUCCUCCCCCAACCCCCACCCGGGGUUGGUGUGGCAACAGGAAAACAUUAGCCUGUGACGCGCCUGCUCUGAUUGAAACGCCAUUUGUAGAAAGGCCUGGAAAAGAGCAGGAUCCAGUUGAAAAGAGCCGCAGCCCCGAGCUCUAGGCCCACCCACGUCACCCAGGUUGAGGCUGUGGGACAUUUGCUUUGGGAAAUUUGGUCACUUCUCUGAGCUAAUAAGCCCAGCGUCAGGAUCAGGAAUGCAAAACAGAAAUGGAGCAAAAAAGAAAAAAAAAAAAAAAAAAGGCAAAGAAAAAAGCAGCACUCCACCAGAAAUGGGAACACUUAAAUGACUUUGUUUAAAUGUCAUGGUACUCUCAAAACCCUG